Long non-coding RNA from Polypterus senegalus (gray bichir), 2090 nucleotides. RefSeq lists it as uncharacterized. The record is from RefSeq and is a predicted model, not a curated record. NCBI's taxonomy places the organism in Eukaryota, Metazoa, Chordata, Cladistia, Polypteriformes, Polypteridae. The transcript has 3 exons.
CAGUGGCGACCUGCCAGCAACAAAUUUUAUUAGGAUCAAACUUUUAAAAUGUGCUAACGCAGGAAAACCUGAGGCUUUUAUUUCAAAGCUGCACUUUAAUGAGGACUAAAGUCAAACUGUAGCCUGGUGAUUCCAAAAAAAAAAAGAAAAGAAAAAAAAAAUUCACCUCUUUGAUCAAAAACUGGCUUUUCUUCAAGAGAUCAUCAAGAAACAGAGGGGAAUGCAGCCGAGGACACUCCAGGAUAAUCCGGGCUGCACCCAGUAUACCUCGCAUUCUCACAGCCCUUCCAAUCACCUAAGGAUCACAGAUUGUCAGAGCCGAUCCCAGCAGCAUCAGUGCCAGACGGGAACUCACUGCGGGCAGGGUGCCAGUCCACGGCACACCCACCAUUUGGGCACAUUUUCACUUUAUUCCUUUGCAGCUGCAGCAGACCAAACCUGCCUGAGACACCAUCCUGCUGCAUUCUCAUACUGCAGUGGCUGUGCCCUGCCAUCAAGGGUUGGGUCCUGCCACCGCUUAAGAGAAUGAACUGCUUUAUGAAUGCCACAGGUCGGAGAAGGCAUAAACAAAAUGGCAAAUGAAAAGUCAGCCUUUUCUGGAAGCCAUUCCCAUACUGAGGAGUCCCAAGCACCGAGGGUGAGCACCACGUUCUUAGCUCAGCUCGAUGACUUCACCUGUUGGACUUGUGACACGAUGGAUGAAUACUUGUGAUGUUUUAAAAAGGAGCAAGUGUGGCACAGUUAGGUGCUGAAAGGCAAACAUAAGGCUUCCUGUUGAAGCCCCACGGUGGACCCCCUGAAUGAGCGAGCGCAGAUGUGACCACCUAUGUCGUAAGUCUAAUGAAGAUGCCCACUGAAGGAAACUGACUGCGUCUGGGGCUCAUAAGACCUGCGGGCACUGGAGCGAGAGGCAGUUAAUGAGCAGCCUGACCUGCAGGACGAAUCCCUGUGCCGUCACAGACCUCACGAAACGUUUAAGUCAAGAAGGACUAGUCGUUCAGACUGACCUUUAGCUGAAUUGUCCCCAAGCGAUGCUGGGCCUGUUUUAGCUCUGCGUGAGAAGAAGCAGACCUGACUGUGUAUUCCAGUGACCGGUGGACAACUUAACCGUGUUCUCUUGGAUAUUACAAACCUCUUUACUCACAGACUCAAGUGUCGUCAUUCUUCAAAAUAUCAAUAUAAAAUGAACUUUAAAAGAACACAAAUAGCUUCUUGUUAUAGAAAUUCUCAGGUGGCCACAAUGGCUAAAGUCAUUUACAGUGGGACGUUGGUGUCAAUGGCCUUUUGUGACUGUCACAUCAUCCACACCGUGUAAUAGAUACCAAAAGGUCAAGGGGCUGCUCGAGGGAAAUGUGGACAGUGAAGUGUCACCCCAAGUGAUCCCUUAGUUUGUCUAAAUGUGUCCCAGUAGGAGCUUUCAAACCUGACUUCUGUUGGAGGACCCAUUAGGUGCUUCGGUGUAUUCAGCAGUCAGCCAAGGCAGGAGGCACAAGAGAUGAAGCAGCUAAAGACUGGCAGUAAGCAGAUGAUCAUCUGGUUCUAAGUGGCACACCAACCAAAGCCACGUCACAGAUGACAGCACACACUCUGCAAAAUGCUGAUUUAGAAAGCGUUAUGUGGUCACAUCACGACAGCAGUGCACAUAGGAUGGCAUCACUUGACAAGAACACCGAGGCAGAUGGUGUGUUGGGAUGCACAACAUAGAAGUAAUUGAUUUUUUGGAAAUGUUGAAGCCGUUUAUCAAUGCGCUGUAAAGAGCCAUUUUAGGAUGACUUUUUUGGGAAACCAAGCUAAAUAAGGACAAACAGAAACAGUCCAGAGAAAGAAGAACCAAAAACAGCACAACCAGCAGCCAUACCACCUGCACCUCAGACAUGGCCACUCACCUGUAGCGUGUUCAGGCCCAGCCAGUACUUGGAUGGGAGACCAUCUGGGAAAAACCUUGGGUUGCUGCUGGAAGAGGUGUUGGUGAGGCUUACCCUGUGGUCUGAAUGUGGAUCCCAAUGCAGUGAUGGGGACACACGUCCUUCAGAUGAAACGUAGGGCCCAGGUCCUGACUCUCUGUGUCAUAAAAGAUCCCUGGGAAUUCU